CCCUUAGAUGUCCUGGGCUGCACGCGCGCUACACUGAUGUGUCCAGUAAGCACCUAACCUCUUCCGAAAGGAACGGGUAACCUUUGCAAAGCACAUCGUGAUGGGGAUAGAUUAUUGCAAUUAUUAGUCUUGAACGAGGAAUUCCUAGUAAGCACAAGUCAUCAGCUUGUGUUGAUUACGUCCCUGCCCUUUGUACACACCGCCCGUCGCUCCUACCGAUUGAAUGUUCCGGUGAGCUCUUCGGACUGCGCGGUCUGCAGUUUCUGCGUUCCGUGCGGAAAAUUGCGCAAACCUUAACAUUUAGAGGAAGGAGAAGUCGUAACA
Molecule: ribosomal RNA, 324 nt
Filed under: uncultured eukaryote
Lineage: Eukaryota
Description: partial 18S ribosomal RNA
Rfam family: Eukaryotic small subunit ribosomal RNA
Source: RNAcentral